AUUGAACGCUAGCGGCAGGCCUAACACAUGCAAGUCGAGCGAGCGGCGGACGGGUGAGUAAUGUAUGGGGACUGCCCGCUAGAGGGGGAUAACUACUGGAAACGGUGGCUAAUACUGCACACUGUCGGAUAACCCAUAGGGGAUUAGCUGGUAGGUAAGGUACUGGCUUACCUAGGCGACGAUCCCUAGCUGGUCUGAGAGGAUGAUCAGCCACACUGGGACUGAGACAUGGCCCAGACUCCUACGGAGGCAGCAGUGGGGAAUAUUGCACAAUGGGCGCAAGCCUGAUGCAGCCAUGCCGCGUGUAUGAAGAAGGCCCUAGGGUUGUAAAGUACUUUCAGUAGGGAGGCGUUACCGACAGAAGAAGCACCGGCUAACUCCGUGCCAGCAGCCGAGGUAAUAC
RNAcentral lists this ribosomal RNA (403 nucleotides) under uncultured bacterium. RNAcentral's name for it is "partial 16S ribosomal RNA". It matches the Rfam family "Bacterial small subunit ribosomal RNA", at positions 30 to 526 of the family's 1533-position model. The record is from RNAcentral.